RNAcentral lists this ribosomal RNA (495 nucleotides) under uncultured bacterium. RNAcentral describes it as "partial 16S ribosomal RNA". It matches the Rfam family "Bacterial small subunit ribosomal RNA", at positions 28 to 507 of the family's 1533-position model. The record is from RNAcentral.
GACGAACGCUGGCGGCGUGCCUAAUACAUGCAAGUAGAACGCUGAAGGAGGAGCUUGCUUCUCUGGAUGAGUUGCGAACGGGUGAGUAACGCGUAGGUAACCUGCCUGGUAGCGGGGGAUAACUAUUGGAAACGAUAGCUAAUACCGCAUAAGAGUAGAUGUUGCAUGACAUUUGCUUAAAAGGUGCAAUUGCAUCACUACCAGAUGGACCUGCGUUGUAUUAGCUAGUUGGUGGGGUAACGGCUCACCAAGGCGACGAUACAUAGCCGACCUGAGAGGGUGAUCGGCCACACUGGGACUGAGACACGGCCCAGACUCCUACGGGAGGCAGCAGUAGGGAAUCUUCGGCAAUGGACGGAAGUCUGACCGAGCAACGCCGCGUGAGUGAAGAAGGGUUUCGGAUCGUAAAGCUCUGUUGUAAGAGAAGAACGAGUGUGAGAGUGGAAAGUUCACACUGUGACGGUAUCUUACCAGAAAGGGACGGCUAACUACGCG